This 570-nucleotide ribosomal RNA is filed under the name uncultured bacterium. Its description in RNAcentral is "partial 16S ribosomal RNA". It matches the Rfam family "Bacterial small subunit ribosomal RNA", at positions 355 to 914 of the family's 1533-position model. The record is from RNAcentral.
UGGGGAAUAUUGCACAAUGGGCGCAAGCCUGAUGCAGCCAUGCCGCGUGUGUGAAGAAGGCCUUCGGGUUGUAAAGCACUUUCAGCGAGGAGGAAGGUGGUGAGCUUAAUACGCUCAUCAAUUGACGUUACUCGCAGAAGAAGCACCGGCUAACUCCGUGCCAGCAGCCGCGGUAAUACGGAGGGUGCAAGCGUUAAUCGGAAUUACUGGGCGUAAAGCGCACGCAGGCGGUUUGUUAAGUCAGAUGUGAAAUCCCCGGGCUCAACCUGGGAACUGCAUUUGAAACUGGCAAGCUAGAGUCCCGUAGAGGGGGGUAGAAUUCCAGGUGUAGCGGUGAAAUGCGUAGAGAUCUGGAGGAAUACCGGUGGCGAAGGCGGCCCCCUGGACGAAGACCGACGCUCAGGUGCGAAAGCGUGGGGCAGCAAACAGGAUUAGAUACCCUGGUAGUCCACCGCUGUAAAACGAUGUCGAUUUGGAGGUUGUGCCCUUGAGGCGUGGCUUCCGGAGCUAACGCGUUAAAUCGACCGCCUGGGGAGUACGGCCGCAAGGUUAAAACUCAAAUGAAUUGAC